This 239-nucleotide long non-coding RNA is filed under the name Salvia miltiorrhiza (redroot sage). RNAcentral describes it as "long non-coding RNA (SMIL_LNC002574)". The record is from RNAcentral. Lineage: Eukaryota; Viridiplantae; Streptophyta; Magnoliopsida; Lamiales; Lamiaceae.
CAAGAGAGAGAGAGAGGAUGAGCAGUUUGCGUGGCGGACGAGCUACGGGAAGAAGGUGCGGCGUCCUCCAAGCCGCGGUGAAGUUUUGAAUAUGUGCGUUCAGUGAAUCGGAGAGGAGAGGAGGACAACGGUGCCGCCGCCGGACGGAUUGGAACAGAGAGGCGAGAUUCGAACAGACUAGAAGCGGCGUGUAGUUUUACCUCAAUCGUGAUUUUUCCCUUUUUUUAAUUUAUACUCAC